GGGAGUUUGAUAGGCUUUAUCUUUUCUUUGACAUCUACGUGUACGUAUAUGUAAACAUGUAUAUACAACACAAAGAAAAUCAUUUCAAAACCGUAAAUUUUAAAAUUUUAUCACCAAUAUGUAAAGUAUUAAUCUAACUAUGGCAAUGGCCAUGAACUCUUCAAUUUCGUCAAGUACUCAAGCGAAGCUCAACUCUCAUACGUUUGACUUUUAAAAUUUGUUUUUGUAUUAUGUAGUUUUAAAUAUAAAUUUUUUCUUUUUUACUAACGUAAUAUUUAAAGUUGAUGGGAUCACCCACCAAUAGAUAUACAAAAACUGUUUUUUAGGUACAUGUUAAACUGUCAUGGAGAAAAUCCAAGUUUACUAUAAACAAGCCGCUCGUGUUGUCUUGCCAUUGAAGAUAUUCAGAAAUUCACAGCUUUGAUUGCAGAUAUGAAGCAAACGAAGAGACGGACGCAGGUAGGCAGAAAAACUUUAAAGGCAAAUCAAAUGGAGGUGAUUAGCGAGGAGCAACAACGUGAGCAAGAGCAAAGUUCAUAUGGAACCUUGUCAAUCAAACAGAAGCAAGGUACUAAGUGUUUGUGCAGUCGCUUGAUUGGUGAAUUGCAGAUUGCUUGGUGGUAGAAGGCUUCUGUUGUAGUCCAUGAGAAAAAGGGUUUUAAGGUUUUCUGUUGUAGUCCAUGAGAAAAAGGGUUUUAAGGUUUUCUUGGGUUGUUAGUCAAGAGUUUGUGCUAGAAGUUAGGUGUUUUUGUUUUAAGUUGAUUGUUUUUGGAUAUAAUGGCAUGGUUUAGAAUUUCUUGAGUUGUGAUCUUUGCGUAAUCUGAGAAGUUUUUUAAAAGUUGGAAAGGUCAGUUCUUUGAGGGUUCUAAUAGCUAAUGUGGAGUCACCAAUUUUUUUUUGGAGGGGUCGAAUCCUGUUGUAAUUCUGCUGCUAUCUUUCUUUAUAGUUUGAUUGAUAUGCCAUUACAAGUUUUUUAUUUUUAA
This is a non-coding RNA of Theobroma cacao (cacao), 983 nucleotides long. Lineage: Eukaryota; Viridiplantae; Streptophyta; Magnoliopsida; Malvales; Malvaceae. The record is from RefSeq and is a predicted model, not a curated record.